GACGAACGCUGGCGGCGUGCUUAACACAUGCAAGUCGAACGGUGAAGGGACCGGUUUUUGCUGGUUCUGGAUGAGUGGCGAACGGGUGAGUAACACGUGAGUAACCUGCCCCCUUCUUCUGGAUAACCGCAUGAAAGUGUGGCUAAUACGGGAUAUUCUGCGCCUGCUGCAUGGUGGGUGUGGGAAAGAUAUUGUUUCGGUUGGGGAUGGGCUCGCGGCCUAUCAGCUUGUUGGUGGGGUGAUGGCCUACCAAGGCGGUGACGGGUAGCCGGCCUGAGGGGGUGGACGGUCACACUGGGACUGAGACACGGCCCAGACUCCUACGGGAGGCAGCAGUGGGGAAUAUUGCACAAUGGGCGCAAGCCUGAUGCAGCGACGCCGCGUGAGGGAUGGAGGCCUUCGGGUUGUAAACCUCUUUCGCCAGUGAAGCAGGCCUGUCCCUUUUGUGGGUGGGUUGACGGUAGCUGGAGAAGAAGCGCCGGCUAGCUACGUG
RNAcentral lists this ribosomal RNA (493 nucleotides) under uncultured bacterium. Its description in RNAcentral is "partial 16S ribosomal RNA". It matches the Rfam family "Bacterial small subunit ribosomal RNA", at positions 28 to 507 of the family's 1533-position model. The record is from RNAcentral.